UGAGGAAUAUUGGACAAUGGGCGCAAGCCUGAUCCAGCCAUGCCGCGUGCGGGAAGAAGGCCUUCGGGUUGUAAACUGCUUUUGUACGGAACGAAAAGACUCCUUCUAAUAAAGGGGGUCCAUGACGGUACCGUAAGAAUAAGCACCGGCUAACUACGUGCCAGCAGCCGCGGUAAUACGUAGGGUGCGAGCGUUAAUCGGAAUUACUGGGCGUAAAGCGUGCGCAGGCGGUUAUAUAAGACAGAUGUGAAAUCCCCGGGCUCAACCUGGGAACUGCAUUUGUGACUGUAUAGCUAGAGUACGGCAGAGGGGGAUGGAAUUCCGCGUGUAGCAGUGAAAUGCGUAGAUAUGCGGAGGAACACCGAUGGCGAAGGCAAUCCCCUGGGCCUGUACUGACGCUCACGCACGAAAGCGUGGGGAGCAAACA
RNAcentral lists this ribosomal RNA (427 nucleotides) under uncultured bacterium. RNAcentral describes it as "bacterial SSU rRNA". It matches the Rfam family "Bacterial small subunit ribosomal RNA", at positions 355 to 774 of the family's 1533-position model. The record is from RNAcentral.